RNAcentral lists this ribosomal RNA (399 nucleotides) under uncultured bacterium. Its description in RNAcentral is "bacterial SSU rRNA". It matches the Rfam family "Bacterial small subunit ribosomal RNA", at positions 59 to 449 of the family's 1533-position model. The record is from RNAcentral.
AAGUCGUACGGAGAGUGGGGCAACUCACUCUUAGUGGCAAACGGGUGAGUAACGCGUGAAUAACCUGCCUUUGAGAAGGGGAUAACUGUCCGAAAGGAUAGCUAAUACCCUAUAUUGCCUUUUGUCACUAAGGCAAAAAGUGAAAGCGAGGCUGUCAAAGGCUUCGGCUCAAAGAGGGGUUCGCGUCCUAUCAGGUAGUUGGUGGGGUAAUGGCCUACCAAGCCAAUGACGGGUAGCUGGUCUUAGAGGAUGAUCAGCCACAGUGGGACUGAGACACGGCCCGCACCCCUACGGGGGGCAGCAGUGGGGAAUCGUGGGCAAUGGGCGCAAGCCUGACCCCGCAAUGCCGCGUGAGGGAAGAAGCCCUUCGGGGUGUAAACCUCUGUCAGAUGGGAAGAU